RNAcentral lists this ribosomal RNA (722 nucleotides) under uncultured Alphaproteobacteria bacterium. RNAcentral's name for it is "bacterial SSU rRNA". It matches the Rfam family "Bacterial small subunit ribosomal RNA", at positions 8 to 778 of the family's 1533-position model. Lineage: Bacteria; Pseudomonadati; Pseudomonadota; Alphaproteobacteria. The record is from RNAcentral.
AGAGUUUGAUCAUGGCUCAGAAUGAACGCUGGCGGCAUGCCUAACACAUGCAAGUCGAACGAGAUCUUCGGAUCUAGUGGCGCACGGGUGAGUAACGCGUGGGAACCUACCUUUUAGUACGGGACAACGUUUGGAAACGAACGCUAAUACCGUAUACGCCCUCCGGGGGAAAGGUCAGCCGCUAAAAGAGGGGCCCGCGUCUGAUUAGCUUGUUGGUAAGGUAAUGGCUUACCAAGGCUACGAUCAGUAGCUGGUCUGAGAGGAUGAUCAGCCACACUGGGACUGAGACACGGCCCAGACUCCUACGGGAGGCAGCAGUGGGGAAUAUUGGACAAUGGAGGCAACUCUGAUCCAGCAAUGCCGCGUGUGUGAUGAAGGCCCUAGGGUUGUAAAGCACUUUCAACGGUGAAGAUGAUGACGGUAGCCGUAGAAGAAGCCCCGGCUAACUUCGUGCCAGCAGCCGCGGUAAUACGAAGGGGGCGAGCGUUAUUCGGAAUUAUUGGGCGUAAAGGGCUCGCAGGCUGCUUGAACAGUUAGACGUGAAAUCCCCGGGCUUAACCUGGGAACUGCGUUUAAUACUAGCAAGCUAGAGAAAUAGAGAGGAAAGUGGAACUCCCAGUGUAGAGGUGAAAUUCGUAAUUUUGGGAAGAACACCAGUGGCGAAAGCGACUUUCUGGCUAUUUUCUGACGCUGAGAGCGAAAGCGUGGGGAGCAAACAGGAU